Molecule: long non-coding RNA, 1410 nt
Organism: Uloborus diversus
Lineage: Eukaryota; Metazoa; Arthropoda; Arachnida; Araneae; Uloboridae
Exons: 2
Source: RefSeq, a predicted model, not a curated record
CAAUCAAUUGUGCAUUUCUGUUUUAUGUUUUAGCACCGAGUUCCGAAGGAAUUUCAUGAUAAACGUCCUCGCAUCAAUCUAACCUUCAGAACAGUUUAUGCCUUAGAUAAGUUACCUACAGAAAUAGUCCCAAAAACUCAUGACCAAGCUCAAGAAAGCAAUAAGAGCUUAAUGAAAAAGACAGAAAAUAUUUCAGAUAAUCGUGCUCCAUGGUGUAGUAAGGAACUUUCUUCAACUGAAACUGUUUUAGAUGGUAUAUCUUCUGAGCAAAUUGAACAUUUUGAUCCAUCAGAAUUUCCUUUGCUUAGCGUUAGCAAGGAUAGUACUAAACCGCUUAGUGACUAUGCUGCCGAUAUAAGUUUACCUACCCAAAGCAAUGCCGAAGACGAAACAACACAGAAUGAUGUUCAAAAUAAAUCUAUAUCUGCUGAUUCAACAAUAGAAAGUGCGUCCAAAACAUCCCUCAAUGAUAAAAACCACAACGUCAGUGACAACAAUUCGGACAGAAGUUUAAAACCAAACCUGCUGAAACCUUGUCCUCCUUUUUCAAACAAAAAUCACACUGAGAUAUUAACUAGUCUGAAUGUCAAUGCCCCAUCAUUUGUGCCAAAAUGUCAAAAAUCUUCUCUUCCUGCUUUCUCUGAGAAACGUUUUAACAGUUCUGCAAAGUUUGAAGAAAAAACCGUUGGAUGAAUUUCCUGUAGUUCCUGACAGAGAGCAGUCUACUAAUGCCCCUAGCACCUGUAGGCAACGUCUGUCACAUGAUCUCUUGGACCUAUUGCAGUACCCAACUAAUGAACUUGUUGAGAAUUAUUCUUUUAUUAUUGAAGAAAUAUCAAAUAGUUUAAAUUGUUCUUUGUUUAGUGAUAGAGACAAACAAGAGUUGCGAUUUUUGUGUGAAAUUUCUAAUGAUCAAAAUGCGAAAAACCAAGGACGAAUAUGUGUUAGAAUUCGGAAUGUAGUAAUGGAUGCAUUUUCUGUACAUACUGAGGCUAGAAGAAUACGAAAUAAUAUUGAAGCUAGGAGCAACAGAUUUCGAAAUUCAGAACCCAGGCAAAUUGGACCUCCCCGCCACAACAAAAAUGUGUCUCCUAGGCAUCAACAACAAAGGUUCGAUAGAAGAAGUGAUAUUGUAUAUAAAAAGCAAUAGUUACGAAGGAAUGACCUUAAUUUAGAUUUAUUCGAGAAAUUCUCUCUGAAGGAUGCUUGAGCAUAACUCAAAAUGUAGGCUGCAUUCUUUAAAACCUAAGAAUCAAUUUAAUGUUUCAAAAUAGAAACUGUUGCAGUUUUUGUUAAAGGAUAUUUGUAUUGGAAUAUCUUCAUACAAGAACAUCCUAAAAUGUAUGUUUUAAUAUUUUUUAAAUUUUACAGUGUAACAGUAUAGCAUUAAAAUAUUUUUUAAAGUUGGAA